GGAAGGGAUCGAUUUAGCCAUGCUAGUUGCACGAGUUCAGACUCGUAGCAGAUAGCUCAGUAACACGUGGCCAAACUACCCUAUGGAUCCGAAUAACCUCGGGAAACUGAGGCUAAUUCGGAAUACGGCUCACCACCUGGAGUGGUGUGAGCCCGAAACGCUCCGGCGCCAUAGGAUGUGGCUGCGGCCGAUUAGGUAGACGGUGGGGUAACGGCCCACCGUGCCCAUAAUCGGUACGGGUUGUGAGAGCAAGAGCCCGGAGACGGUAUCUGAGACAAGAUACCGGGCCCUACGGGGCGCAGCAGGCGCGAAACCUUUACACUGCACGAAAGUGCGAUAAGGGGACUCCAAGUGCGAGGGCAUAUAGUCCUCGCUUUUUGCGACCGUAAGGUGGUCGCGGAAUAAGUGCUGGGCAAGACCGGUGCCAGCCGCCGCGGUAAUACCGGCAGCACGAGUGAUGACCGCUAUUAUUGGGCCUAAAGCGUCCGUAGCUGGCCGUGCAAGUCCAUCGGGAAAUCCGCGCGCUUAACGCGCGGGCGUCCGGUGGAAACUGCAUGGCUUGGGACCGGAAGACCAGAGGGGUACGUCCGGGGUAGGAGUGAAAUCCCGUAAUCCUGGACGGACCACCGGUGGCGAAAGCGCCUCUGGAAGACGGAUCCGACGGUGAGGGACGAAAGCUCGGGUCACGAACCGGAUUAGA
This 700-nucleotide ribosomal RNA is filed under the name Haloterrigena sp. S4BC12. RNAcentral describes it as "bacterial SSU rRNA". It matches the Rfam family "Archaeal small subunit ribosomal RNA", at positions 32 to 733 of the family's 1478-position model. Lineage: Archaea; Methanobacteriati; Methanobacteriota; Halobacteria; Halobacteriales; Natrialbaceae. The record is from RNAcentral.